Molecule: ribosomal RNA, 896 nt
Filed under: uncultured organism
Description: SSU rRNA
Rfam family: Bacterial small subunit ribosomal RNA
Source: RNAcentral
UACGAAAGGAGUGAGCGUUAUUCAUAAUGAUUGGGCGUAAAGGGUUCGUAGAUCGAUAAUUUAAUCUUUGGUGAAAUCUUAAUUAAAAUUAAAAGUGCCUUAGCUAUUAAUUAUCUAGAGGGAAUUAGAGGAUAACAGAAUUCUAUAUUUGAGGAGUAAAAUCCGUUGACCUAUGGAGGAAUGCCAGAGGGGAAAGCGGGUAUCUGGGAUAUCACUGAGAUUGAGGAGCGAAAGCGUGGGGAGCAAACAGGAUUAGAUACCCUGGUAGUCCACGCUGUCAAAGAUGAGUGCUAACAUUUGGUAUAAGUCAGAUGUAAAGUUAACACGUUAAGCACUCCGCCUGGGGAGUACGAUCGCAAGAUUGGAACUCAAAGGAAUUGACGGGGAUCUACACAAGUGGUGGAGCAUGUGGUUUAAUGCGAUAGUACACGCGAAACCUUACCAGUUCUUGAAUACAAUUAAAGUAUUGUUAAUAGCAAUAGUCUUAUAAAAAAAUGUAUCUCAGUUUUUACAUCUUUAAUAUUUUUGUACAGGUGUUGCAUGGCCGUCGUCAGCUCGUGCCGUGAGGUGUUUGGUUCAGUCCUUUAACGAGCGCAACUCUUAUAUCAAUGUUCGAAACACUUUUGCUAUGUAAAAAUAGUUUUAGUGUAAGUCAUUAUAAACAGCUAGUGACAAACUAGAGGAAGGCGAGAACGACGUCAAGUCCUUAUGGCCCUUAUGAACUGGGCUACACACGUGCUACAAAGAUAAUUACAAAAAGUUAUACAAUAAAGUGAUUUUGAGUCAAUCUUCAAAAAUUAUCGUGUACAGAUUGUAGACUGCAACUCGUCUACAUGAAGGUGGAAUCACAAGUAAUCGUAAAUCAGCAAGUUACGGUGAAUUUUGUACUUAGAUCU